This 450-nucleotide unclassified non-coding RNA is filed under the name Zanthoxylum setulosum. Its description in RNAcentral is "partial external transcribed spacer". The record is from RNAcentral. Lineage: Eukaryota; Viridiplantae; Streptophyta; Magnoliopsida; Sapindales; Rutaceae.
UGGAUGGCGUGGGUUGGCAGGCUCUGUGCUUGUGCAUCGAACUGUCGGCGCUCCAUCUGUUACGGUCUUGCCCCAGGCGCAGCUCCUGGCUUGUGGGUGCUCGUGGUAUCCUGUGUUGCUUACCUGUGGGAAGGAAUUUGAUGGUUUCGGUGUCCCUAUACGCCUUGCGUCCUACGGGGUGUGGGGUGGACGUGCGGCAGGCUCUGUGUUGCCCCSCUGUUGAGUGUGUUGAUGCUCGGCCGCUGUGGCCCAUGGGGUCUUGGCUCUUGCUCUCGGAUGUAGAAUGUUGUGUGUGUGUUGGUGUGGGGUCUCGGCCUCUUAUCGUYUAAGCUAACACACAUUGUCCCUUUACAUGAACGACUGCCACGCCCGUCUUGAUCGUYUGACUGAGCCUUGUCGCGGGGCUCUGGGAGGGCGUCUCAUGCGGGGGUUGGUAUCGGAGAGGAAUGC